AUUGAACGCUGGCGGCAGGCCUAACACAUGCAAGUCGAACGGUAACAGGAAGCAGCUUGCUGCUUCGCUGACGAGUGGCGGACGGGUGAGUAAUGUCUGGGAAGCUGCCUGAUGGAGGGGGAUAACUACUGGAAACGGUAGCUAAUACCGCAUAAUGUCGCAAGACCAAAGAGGGGGACCUUCGGGCCUCUUGCCAUCGGAUGUGCCCAGAUGGGAUUAGCUUGUUGGUGGGGUAACGGCUCACCAAGGCGACGAUCCCUAGCUGGUCUGAGAGGAUGACCAGCCACACUGGAAUUGAGACACGGUCCAGACUCCUACGGGAGGCAGCAGUGGGGAAUAUUGCACAAUGGGCGCAAGCCUGAUGCAGCCAUGCCGCGUGUAUGAAGAAGGCCUUCGGGUUGUAAAGUACUUUCAGCGGGGAGGAAGGGAGUAAAGUUAAUACCUUUGCUCAUUGACGUUACCCGCAGAAGAAGCACCGGCUAACUCCGUG
RNAcentral lists this ribosomal RNA (490 nucleotides) under uncultured bacterium. RNAcentral's name for it is "partial 16S ribosomal RNA". It matches the Rfam family "Bacterial small subunit ribosomal RNA", at positions 30 to 507 of the family's 1533-position model. The record is from RNAcentral.